UCAUGUGCGAAUCCGGGACUGCGUGAUCUCUUAUGAUGGUGGAUUCCGCAUGGUCGCCUGUGAUGGUGGACUGUGCUGAUGGUGAGCAACUAAGAA
Long non-coding RNA from Gopherus evgoodei (Goodes thornscrub tortoise), 96 nucleotides. RefSeq lists it as uncharacterized. The transcript is spliced from 3 exons. The record is from RefSeq and is a predicted model, not a curated record. Lineage: Eukaryota; Metazoa; Chordata; Testudines; Testudinidae.